GAUGAAGAACGUAGCGAAAUGCGAUAAGUAAUGUGAAUUGCAGAAUUCAGUGAAUCAUCGAAUCUUUGAACGCACAUUGCGCCCGCCUGUAUUCUGGCGGGCAUGCCUGUUCGAGCGUCAUUUCAACCAUCAAGCCCCAGGCUUGUGUUGGGGACCUGCGGCUGCCGCAGGCCCUGAAAACCAGUGGCGGGCUCGCUGUCACACCGGGCGUAGUAGAUUUUAUCUCGCUCAGGGCGUGCUGCGGGUUCCGGCCGUUAAAAAGCCUUUUUUACCCAAGGUUGACCUCGGAUCAGGUAGGAAGACCCGCUGAACUUAAGCAUAUCAAUAAGCGGAGGA
This 336-nucleotide unclassified non-coding RNA is filed under the name soil metagenome. RNAcentral's name for it is "partial contains 5.8S ribosomal RNA, internal transcribed spacer 2, and large subunit ribosomal RNA". The stretch from base 1 to 120 matches the Rfam family "5.8S ribosomal RNA", at positions 35 to 154 of the family's 154-position model. The record is from RNAcentral.